This 1353-nucleotide ribosomal RNA is filed under the name uncultured bacterium. RNAcentral's name for it is "bacterial SSU rRNA". It matches the Rfam family "Bacterial small subunit ribosomal RNA", at positions 27 to 1381 of the family's 1533-position model. The record is from RNAcentral.
GGAUGAACGCUGGCGGCGUGCCUAAUGCAUGCAAGUCGAGCGGGCUACAGUCUUCGGAUUGUAGCUUAGCGGCGAACGGGUGAGUAACACGUAGGUAAUCUACCCUUCAGAGGAGGACAACCUCAGGAAACUGAGGCUAAACCUCCAUACGUUCAUAUGCAGGGAUGCAGAUGAAGAAAGAGUUACCCGUGAGGGUAGCUGCUGAAGGAUGAGCCUGCGGCCCAUCAGGUAGUUGGUGAGGUAACGGCUCACCAAGCCGAAGACGGGUAACCGGUCUGAGAGGAUGUCCGGUCACACUGGGACUGAGACACGGCCCAGACUCCUACGGGAGGCAGCAGUUGGGAAUCUUAGGCAAUGGGCGAAAGCCUGACCUAGCGACGCCGCAUGAGGGAAGAAGGCCUUCGGGUCGUAAACCUCUGUCAUGGGGGACGAAGGAAGUGACGGUACCCCAAGAGGAAGCCCCUGCUAACUACGUGCCAGCAGCCGCGGUAAUACGUAGGGGGCGAGCGUUAUCCGGAAUUAUUGGGCGUAAAGGGCGAGUAGGCGGUCUGUUAAGUCAGGUGUGAAAUUUCAGGGCUCAACCCUGAAACUGCGCUUGAAACUGGCAGGCUAGAGGACAGGAGAGGGAAGUGGAAUUCCCGGUGUAGCGGUGGAAUGCGUAGAUAUCGGGAGGAACACCAGUGGCGAAGGCGGCUUCCUGGACUGUACCUGACGCUGAGGAGCGAAAGCUGGGGGAGCAAACAGGAUUAGAUACCCUGGUAGUCCCAGCUGUAAACGAUGAGUGCUAGGUGUGGAGGGCUACAAUCCUCCGUGCCGCAGUUAACGCAAUAAGCACUCCGCCUGGGGAGUACGGCCGCAAGGCUAAAACUCAAAGGAAUUGACGGGGGCCCGCACAAGCAGUGGAGCGUGUGGUUUAAUUCGAGGCAACGCGCAGAACCUUACCAGGGUUUGACAUCAUACUGACGUCUGUAGAAACACAGAUUUCCGUUUAGGCGGACGGUAUGACAGGUGUUGCAUGGUUGUCGUCAGCUCGUGUCGUGAGAUGUUGGGUUAAGUCCCGCAACGAGCGCAACCCCUAUCCAAUGUUGCCAACAGGUAAAGCUGGGGACUCAUUGGAGACUGCCGGAGACGAUCUGGAGGAAGGUGGGGAUGAGGUCAAAUCAUCAUGGCCCUUAAGCCCUGGGCUACACACGCGCUACAAUGGCCGGUACAACGGGCAGCGAAGGAGCGAUCUGGAGCGAAUCCCAAAAAGCCGGCCCCAGUUGGAAUCGCAGGCUGCAACCCGCCUGCGUGAACAUGGAAUUGCUAGUAAUCGCGAAUCAGCUACGUCGCGGUGAAUACGUUCCCGGGCCU